ACGACCAAACUCACCCUCCUUGUAUCUCCACUACCGACUAUAACACCUCCCAUGACCACCCCAUCGCCACCGUUGACCACCGCACGACCACCCUACUGCCGCCGCCGGAAAUCACCUCACGGCGGCGGCCGUCAACCAAACGGCCCCAAAGUUACACCCUUUAACCAGCAUGACCUCCCCUAUCCCACCAUGUAAUUGGUUUCCUUCGAAUACCAUCCCUCAGUCUCGAAUAUACCUUUAAAGGUGGCCGGAAACCCUACCUCCGGCGACCUCAUUCCAAAGCCGGCCAAAACUACACCACUAAGACACCUUGACUUCCCCGUUCUAACCAUGCAUAUCAUCAUUCUCAAAUCACCCUGAAACUCUUCGAAUCUCAGUCUGAAACCCAACCCUAAAUCCCCAAACAUGCCGGAAAAGCCCCAAAACCUUCCCAGGGUUCUAACCAUGCAUGUCCCCCUCUCAAAUCACCAUGGAACCCCUCGAAUCUUAAUCCGAAUCUUAACCCCAAAUCCCAUACUUAACAGAAAUGGCUCAAAACCCUUCCAGGCAGCCCCUGACUCUCCUUGACAAUAGCCAUACCAUCCUUGAGUCUCAAACAACUCCCAACCACUCAAAAUUUCAAAUAUGAGACCUACUGAGGUCUCAAGACUUCAAGAACCCUCCCCUGAACUUUGAAACUGUUUAACAACCAUCCUGGGAGUUUCAGAACCCCUAUGGAAGAACAAAGGUCCACUUGACAUGGUCUGAACGGACAGGAAUGAGAGCUAAGUUUCCCCUGCUCAUUUUCAUUUUUUAGCUUUGAAUGAUUGGAUUUCUUUUAAUGACUGAUUGUUAAUUGCAUGUUUUAAUAAUUUGAGUUUCUUUUAUUUGAUUUUCUUUUGAUUGUUUGUCUUGAUUAUCCACAAGUUCUUCUAAAAAUUAGGGUUCAUGUUCAUAUGUUUGUUUGUUUGUCACUAGCCUGGGAUAACUGAUUAGGUUCAAUAAUUACAUGUUUUAAAGCAUGAGUUUCUUUUAUUUGAGUCUGGUUGUUUAUCUGGUUUCCCAACAAAGUUCUUCUGGAAAAAGGUUUUCAAUGUUCAUGUAUUUGUUUGACACUAGUCUGAAAAUUCCCUCAUCUUUUGAUAGUUGUAUAUUCAGUUUCUUGACUUGGAAAUUGAGUUAGUUCCUCAAUAAUGUGAUUUUUAGGCUUAAUUGACAUAUACCUUCUGAUUCUAUAAUUUCUGAUGCUUCCUA
Molecule: long non-coding RNA, 1233 nt
Filed under: Nicotiana benthamiana
Lineage: Eukaryota; Viridiplantae; Streptophyta; Magnoliopsida; Solanales; Solanaceae
Description: long non-coding RNA (NBEN_LNC037623)
Source: RNAcentral